AGAGUUUGAUCCUGGCUCAGGAUGAACGCUGACAGAAUGCUUAACACAUGCAAGUCAACUUGUAAUUUGGGUUUUAACUUAGAUUUGGGUGGCGGACGGGUGAGUAACGCGUAAGAACUUGCCUCACAGCUAGGGACAACAUUUAGAAAUGAAUGCUAAUACCUGAUAUUAUGAUUUUAAGGCAUCUUAGAAUUAUGAAAGCUAUAAGCACUGUGAGAGAGCUUUGCGUCCCAUUAGCUAGUUGGAGAGGUAACAGCUCACCAAGGCGAUGAUGGGUAGCCGGCCUGAGAGGGUGAACGGCCACAAGGGGACUGAGACACGGCCCUUACUCCUACGGGAGGCAGCAGUGGGGAAUAUUGGACAAUGGACCGAGAGUCUGAUCCAGCAAUUCUGUGUGCACGAUGAAGUUUUCGGAAUGUAAAGUGCUUUCAGUUGGGAAGAAAGAAAUGACGGUACCAACAGAAGAAGUGACGGCUAAAUACGUG
RNAcentral lists this ribosomal RNA (485 nucleotides) under uncultured Fusobacterium sp. Its description in RNAcentral is "bacterial SSU rRNA". It matches the Rfam family "Bacterial small subunit ribosomal RNA", at positions 8 to 507 of the family's 1533-position model. The record is from RNAcentral. Lineage: Bacteria; Fusobacteriati; Fusobacteriota; Fusobacteriia; Fusobacteriales; Fusobacteriaceae.